RNAcentral lists this transfer RNA (74 nucleotides) under Phrynosoma platyrhinos (Desert horned lizard). RNAcentral describes it as "tRNA-OTHER". The record is from RNAcentral. Lineage: Eukaryota; Metazoa; Chordata; Lepidosauria; Squamata; Phrynosomatidae.
GACCCAGUGUGGCAUAGUGGUUUGUCCAUUGGACUGUGAUUCUGGAGACCAGGGUUCAAAUCCUUGCAUGGCCA